GAUGAACGCUGUCUACAGGCUUAACACAUGCAAGUCGAGGGGAAACGCCGGGGAAGCUUGCUUCCCCGGGCGUCGACCGGCGCACGGGUGAGUAACGCGUAUCCAACCUGCCUCUGACUGAGGGAUAACCCGUCGAAAGUCGGCCUAAUACCUCAUGGCAUCGUCUGCGGGCAUCCAACGACGAUUAAAGAUUUCAUCGGUCAGGGAUGGGGAUGCGUCUGAUUAGCUUGUUGGCGGGGUAACGGCCCACCAAGGCUACGAUCAGUAGGGGUUCUGAGAGGAAGGUCCCCCACAUUGGAACUGAGACACGGGCCAAACUCCUACGGGAGGCAGCAGUGAGGAAUAGUGGUCAAUGGGCGGGAGCCUGAACCAGCCAAGUAGCGUGCAGGAUGACGGCCCUAUGGGUUGUAAACUGCUUUUAUGCGGGGAUAAAGUGAGGGACGUGUCCUUCAUUGCAGGUACCGCAUGAAUAAGGACCGGCUAAUUCCGUG
Molecule: ribosomal RNA, 491 nt
Filed under: uncultured bacterium
Lineage: Bacteria
Description: partial 16S ribosomal RNA
Rfam family: Bacterial small subunit ribosomal RNA
Source: RNAcentral